AUCCUGGCUCAGGAUGAACGCUAGCGGCAGGCUUAACACAUGCAAGUCGAGGGGUAUAUUUCUUCGGAGAUAGAGACCGGCGCACGGGUGCGUAACGCGUAUGCAAUCUACCUUUUACAGAGGGAUAGCCCAGAGAAAUUUGGAUUAAUACCUCAUAGCAUUGCAGGAUGGCAUCAUUCAGCAAUUAAAGUCACAACGGUAAAAGAUGAGCAUGCGUCCCAUUAGCUAGUUGGUAAGGUAACGGCUUACCAAGGCUACGAUGGGUAGGGGUCCUGAGAGGGAGAUCCCCCACACUGGUACUGAGACACGGACCAGACUCCUACGGGAGGCAGCAGUGAGGAAUAUUGGACAAUGGGCGCAAGCCUGAUCCAGCCAUGCCGCGUGCAGGAUGACGGUCCUAUGGAUUGUAAACUGCUUUUAUACGAGAAGAAACACUACUUCGUGAAGUAGCUUGACGGUAUCGUAAGAAUAAGGAUCGGC
Molecule: ribosomal RNA, 480 nt
Filed under: Flavobacterium sp. WB3.2-37b
Lineage: Bacteria; Pseudomonadati; Bacteroidota; Flavobacteriia; Flavobacteriales; Flavobacteriaceae
Description: bacterial SSU rRNA
Rfam family: Bacterial small subunit ribosomal RNA
Source: RNAcentral